RNAcentral lists this ribosomal RNA (350 nucleotides) under Brevibacillus laterosporus. RNAcentral describes it as "bacterial LSU rRNA". It matches the Rfam family "Bacterial large subunit ribosomal RNA", at positions 1331 to 1677 of the family's 2925-position model. Lineage: Bacteria; Bacillati; Bacillota; Bacilli; Caryophanales; Paenibacillaceae. The record is from RNAcentral.
UGUCCACCGAAAGCCUAAGGUUUCCUGGGGAAGGCUCGUCCUCCCAGGGUUAGUCGGGACCUAAGCUGAGGCCGAAAGGCGUAGGCGAUGGACAACUGGUUGAUAUUCCAGUACCACCUCUGUUCCGUUUGAGCAAUGGCGUGACGCAGGAGGAUAGGGUGAGCGGCCUAUUGGAUGGCCGUCUAAGCAGUAAGUGUGGUGUGUAGGCAAAUCCGCACACCAGUAAGCACAAGCUGUGAUGGCGAGGGAAAUAUAAGUACCGAAGUCCCUGAUUUCACACUGCCAAGAAAAGCGUCUAGCGAGGAACAAGGUGCCCGUACCGCAAACCGACACAGGUAGGCGAGGAGAGA